Molecule: ribosomal RNA, 437 nt
Filed under: uncultured bacterium
Lineage: Bacteria
Description: bacterial SSU rRNA
Rfam family: Bacterial small subunit ribosomal RNA
Source: RNAcentral
GCCUACGGGGGGCAGCAGUAGGGAAUUUUCCGCAAUGGGCGCAAGCCUGACGGAGCAACGCCGCGUGAGGGAUGAAGGUUUUCGGAUCGUAAACCUCUGUCUUCAGGGACGAUAAUGACGGUACCUGAGGAGGAAGCCACGGCUAACUACGUGCCAGCAGCCGCGGUAAUACGUAGGUGGCAAGCGUUGUCCGGAAUUACUGGGCGUAAAGGGCGUGUAGGCGGCCUGUUAAGUUAGACGUGAAAUCCCUGGGCUUAACCCAGGACCUGCGUUUAAAACUGGCGGGCUUGAGGACCGGAGAGGGCAGUGGAAUUCCCAGUGUAGCGGUGAAAUGCGUAGAUAUUGGGAGGAACACCAGUGGCGAAGGCGACUGCCUGGACGGCCCCUGACGCUGAGGCGCGAAAGCUAGGGGAGCAAACGGGAUUAGAUACCCCGGU